CGUUUAUUUGAUAGUGCCUUACUACUUGGAUAACCGUGGUAAUUCUAGAGCUAAUACAUGCUAAAAACCCCGACUUCGGAAGGGGUGUAUUUAUUAGAUACAAAACCAAUGCCCUUCGGGGCUCUUUGGUGAUUCAUGAUAACUAUACGAAUCGCACGGCCUUGCGCCGGCGAUGGUUCAUUCAAAUUUCUUCCCUAUCAACUUUCGAUGUUUGGGUAUUGGCCAAACAUGGUUGCAACGGGUAACGGAGGGUUAGGGCUCGACCCCGGAGAAGGAGCCUGAGAAACGGCUACUACAUCCAAGGAAGGCAGCAGGCGCGCAAAUUACCCAAUCCCGACUCGGGGAGGUAGUGACAAUAAAUACUGAUACAGGGCCCUUUCGGGCCUUGUAAUUGGAAUGAGUACAAUUUAAAUCCCUUAACGAGGAACAAUUGGAGGGCAAGUCUGGUGCCAGCAGCCGCGGUAAUUCCAGCUCCAAUAGCGUAUAUUAAAGUUGUUGUGGUUAAAAAGCUCGUAGUUGAACCUUGGGCCUGGCUGGCCGGUCCGCCUCACCGCGUGCACUGGUCCGGCCGGGCCUUUCCCUCUGUGGAACCCCAUACCCUUCACUGGGCGUGGCGGGGAAACAGGACAUUUACUUUGAAAAAAUUAGAGUGCUCCAGGCAGGCCUAUGCUCGAAUACAUUAGCAUGGAAUAAUAAAAUAGGACGCGCGGUUCUAUUUUGUUGGUUUAUAGGACCGCCGUAAUGAUUAAUAGGGACAGUCGGGGGCAUCAGUAUUCAAAUGUCAGAGGUGAAAUUCUUGGAUCAUUUGAAGACUAACUACUGCGAAAGCAUUUGCCAAGGAUGUUUUCAUUAAUCAGGAACGAAAGUUAGGGGAUCGAAGACGAUCAGAUACCGUCGUAGUCUUAACCAUAAACUAUGCCGACUAGGGAUCGGACGGUGUUAUUCAUGACCCGUUCGGCACCUUACGAGAAAUCAAAGUGCUUGGGCUCCAGGGGGAGUAUGGUCGCAAGGCUGAAACUUAAAGAAAUUGACGGAAGGGCACCACCAGGGGUGGAGCCUGCGGCUUAAUUUG
Molecule: ribosomal RNA, 1072 nt
Filed under: Sarocladium implicatum
Lineage: Eukaryota; Fungi; Ascomycota; Sordariomycetes; Hypocreales; Sarocladiaceae
Description: SSU rRNA
Rfam family: Eukaryotic small subunit ribosomal RNA
Source: RNAcentral